GUUAAAAAGCUCGUAGUUGGAUUUCUGUUGAGGAUGACCGGUCCGCUCUUUGAGCGCGUAUCUGGUUCAGCCUUGGCAUCCUCUUGGGGAACGCUACUGUGCUUGAUUGCAUGGGGCGGUAUUCAAGACUUUUACUUUGAGGAAAUUAGAGUGUUCACUGCAAGCGUUAGCAAUUGAGUACAUUAGCAUGGAAUAAUAAUAUAGGACCUUGGUACUAUUUUGUUGGUUUCUAGAACUAAGGUAAUGAUUAAUAGGGACAAUUGGGGCAUUCGUAUUAACGCGUCAGAGGUGGAAUUCUUAGAUUGCGUUACGACGAACUACUGCGAAAGCAUUUGCCAAGGAUGUUUUCAUUGAUCAAGAACGAAAGUAUGGGGAUCGAAGACGCUUAGAUACCGUCGUAGUCUAUACCAUAAACUAUGCCAACUAGAGAUUGGAGGUCGUUCUCUUUAUGACUCCUUCAGCACCUUAUGAGAAAUCAAAGUCUUUGGGUUCCGGGGGGAGUAUGGUCGCAAGGCUGAAACUUAAAAGAAUUGACGGAAGGGCACCACCAGGAGUGGAGCCUGCGGCUUAAUUUGACUCAACACGGGAAAACUUACCAGGUCCAGACUAGUAAGGAUUGACAGAUUGAUAGCUCUU
This 636-nucleotide ribosomal RNA is filed under the name uncultured marine eukaryote. Its description in RNAcentral is "SSU rRNA". It matches the Rfam family "Eukaryotic small subunit ribosomal RNA", at positions 618 to 1259 of the family's 1831-position model. The record is from RNAcentral.